RNAcentral lists this ribosomal RNA (253 nucleotides) under uncultured bacterium. Its description in RNAcentral is "partial 16S ribosomal RNA". It matches the Rfam family "Bacterial small subunit ribosomal RNA", at positions 524 to 776 of the family's 1533-position model. The record is from RNAcentral.
UACGUAGGGGGCUAGCGUUGUCCGGAUUUAUUGGGCGUAAAGGGCGCGUAGGCGGCACUGUUAGUCAGGCGUGAAAGUCCUGGGCUCAACCUGGGAACUGCGCUUGAUACGGCAGAGCUAGAGGAUGGAAGAGGCUCGCGGAAUUCCCAGUGUAGAGGUGAAAUUCGUAGAUAUUCGCAAGAACACCAGUGGCGAAGGCGGCCGACUGGUCCGGUUCUGACGCUGAGGCGCGAAAGCGUGGGGAGCAAACAGG